GGUGGUUCUCAGGUGAUGCACCCCGGAAUGAAGCUCCCUCCUCUCUGGUUCUGGGUGUGUCACCCAAGAACCCCA
Molecule: non-coding RNA, 75 nt
Organism: Myotis lucifugus (little brown bat)
Lineage: Eukaryota; Metazoa; Chordata; Mammalia; Chiroptera; Vespertilionidae
Source: Rfam